UACGAAGGGGGCAAGCGUUGUUCGGAAUUACUGGGCGUAAAGCGCGUGUAGGCUGCGACGUAAGUCAGGCGUGAAAGCCCUCAGCUUAACUGAGGAAGUGCACUUGAUACUGCGUCGCUAGAGUGUCGGAGGGGGUGGCGGAAUUCCCGGUGUAGAGGUGAAAUUCGUAGAUAUUCGCAGGAACACCAGUGGCGAAGGCGGCUUACUGGUCCAUUACUGACGCUGAGGCACGAAAGCAUGGGGAGCAAACAGG
RNAcentral lists this ribosomal RNA (253 nucleotides) under uncultured bacterium. RNAcentral describes it as "partial 16S ribosomal RNA". It matches the Rfam family "Bacterial small subunit ribosomal RNA", at positions 524 to 776 of the family's 1533-position model. The record is from RNAcentral.